RNAcentral lists this non-coding RNA (180 nucleotides) under Rubritalea profundi. RNAcentral describes it as "6S / SsrS RNA". It matches the Rfam family "6S / SsrS RNA". From Rfam's summary of the family: E. coli 6S RNA was the first non coding RNA to be sequenced, but its function was unknown until recently. It consists of 184 nucleotides that fold into an extended hairpin structure with a large single-stranded internal bulge. The 6S RNA specifically associates with RNA polymerase holoenzyme containing the sigma70 specificity factor. Lineage: Bacteria; Pseudomonadati; Verrucomicrobiota; Verrucomicrobiia; Verrucomicrobiales; Rubritaleaceae. The record is from Rfam by way of RNAcentral.
CAGGUGCUACCAUGUUCGUCCCUAUAUAGAACGAGUCCAGGCCGAUAUUUAAAUUACGGGAGCUGCCCCAGAGGGUUGAUGUCAUGCCUUUUCAGGAAGACAAAGACCCAAUGGACGUUCCCACCUACUGAGCUUUCGGAUCAGUGGCUUCAGUUCUAUGGACGGCAUGGCGGUAUUUUU